CCUACGGGUGGCUGCAGUGGGGAAUCUUGCGCAAUGGGCGAAAGCCUGACGCAGCAACGCCGCGUGCGGGAUGACGGCCUUCGUGGUUGUAAACCGCUUUCAGCAGGGACGAAAAUGACGGUACCUGCAGAAGAAGCCCCGGCUAACUACGUGCCAGCAGCCGCGGUAAUACGUAGGGGGCAAGCGUUGUCCGGAUUCAUUGGGCGUAAAGAGCUCGUAGGCGGUUCAGUAAGUCAGGUGUGAAAGCUCCGAGCUCAACUCGGAGAGGCCACCUGAUACUGCUGUGACUUGAGUCCAGUAGAGGAGCGUGGAACUCCUGGUGUAGCGGUGGAAUGCGCAGAUAUCAGGAAGAACACCUGCAGCGAAGGCGGCGCUCUGGGCUGGUACUGACGCUGAGGAGCGAAAGCAUGGGUAGCAAACAGGCUUAGAUACCCUGGUAGUC
This 442-nucleotide ribosomal RNA is filed under the name uncultured Candidatus Nemicrothrix sp. Its description in RNAcentral is "bacterial SSU rRNA". It matches the Rfam family "Bacterial small subunit ribosomal RNA", at positions 338 to 795 of the family's 1533-position model. The record is from RNAcentral. Lineage: Bacteria; Bacillati; Actinomycetota; Acidimicrobiia; Acidimicrobiales; Microthrixaceae.